RNAcentral lists this small nuclear RNA (24 nucleotides) under Arabidopsis thaliana (thale cress). Its description in RNAcentral is "snRNA_17044". Lineage: Eukaryota; Viridiplantae; Streptophyta; Magnoliopsida; Brassicales; Brassicaceae. The record is from RNAcentral.
AUGGAGUAUUCUAAACGCGUAGGA